Molecule: RNA transcript, 2307 nt
Organism: Bubalus bubalis (water buffalo)
Lineage: Eukaryota; Metazoa; Chordata; Mammalia; Artiodactyla; Bovidae
Gene: ZCCHC9
Gene name: zinc finger CCHC-type containing 9
Exons: 11
Source: RefSeq, a predicted model, not a curated record
CGCCGGACAGGGACACGGCUGCUAAUAAGCCAAUUGCUCGCCGGAAGUGACGCACUGCAGGGACGACGUGCUUCCGGUCCCGGGUGUCGUCGUCUCCGCCGCAGGGGGAAGGGUUUUUUCUGGCCUGCUAACUCCGCUGCUCUGGAGGAUCCUUUCCUGAUUGAUACACCUCUGAUGAAGCUAUGACCAGGUGGGCACGAGUCACUACCACACAGAACAAACGACCCUUUCCUGCAACAUCAUGGGAGGACUUGAAGAAGGGGUCCUCUGAGGGACAAAGCCAAAAUCUUCCAAAGAGUAAACAACUUGAAGCCAAUAGGCUGUCCCUUAAAAAUGAUGCCCCCCAAGCAAAACACAAAAAGAAUAAAAAGAAAAAGGAGUAUUUAAAUGAAGAUGUGAAUGGAUUCAUGGAAUAUUUAAGACAAAACUCACAGAUGCUUCACAAUGGUGAGGUGAUAGCAACAGACAGUCAGAAAGUAAGGGAAGAAAUUGAAGUUGCUUUAAAGAAAGACAGUCGCCGGGAAGGAAGACGAUUAAAAAGACAAGCAGCAAAGAAAAAUGCAAUGGUAUGUUUCCAUUGUAGACAACCUGGCCAUGGGAUUGCAGAUUGCCCUUCUGCCCUUGAGAAUCAAGAAAUGGGCACUGGAAUAUGUUACAGGUGUGGAUCCACAGAGCACGAAAUAACCAAGUGCAAGGCUAAAGUAGACCCAGCUCUUGGUGAAUUUCCUUUUGCAAAAUGUUUUGUUUGUGGGGAAAUGGGGCAUCUGUCCAGAUCUUGUCCUGAUAAUCCCAAAGGACUCUAUGCUGAUGGUGGUGGCUGCAGACUUUGUGGCUCUGUGGAACAUAUGAAGAAAGAUUGUCCCGAAAGUCAGAACUCAGAUCGAAUGGUCACAGUUGGUCGCUGGGCAAAGGGAAUGAGUGCAGACUAUGAAGAAAUUUUGGAUGUGCCUAAACCACAGAAACCGAAAACAAAGAUACCUAAACAACAGAGGAAAACAUAACCCAAUUUGGCUCAGCAUACCAGAGCUUAAGGAAGAGAAAAUUAAUGUGCACGUUUCAUCGAACUUACGGUACACGAACUGCUGCCAGUAGCAUGGAUAAGAAAUCCAGCACAUUCGAUUUCACUUCUGACAUACUGUGGAGAAGGUGGGACUGACGGCAGAAUAACCGACCUCACUGCCACCACGGUGCUUUGAAGAUAGUGUUGAAAUUUGCCAUCUUAUAAUCAUUCCCAUGGCAACAAGCAAUGAGAAGACAGACAAACAGGGUUGAGACUUCACUGCAGGAAUCAAGCAGAUGGAAAAAUCAGGCUGGGAGGGAGAAAACCUUUAUUUCAACACAAAUAUCUUUUAAGAAGAGAAUGAAGAAAUGAGAAACUGACUAAAAGCAGCUUAGAAAGACAUGAGUUUGUCUUUUUACUAAGCUGCUCAGUGAGUACUCAGAUGCCAGCAAUGAUGCAAGAAACAGAUUUCAUGUUAAUAAAAGAAAACAAGGUCUUGAGGCAUCUUUUAUAAAGGGUAAAUGGAAGCAAGUAACUUUGUUAAGUUAAACCUGUGUGCAUCACUGAACCAAGCAUAGAUGGAAACCUAACUGGAUCCAAAGAAAAUAAGGAAGACCCUGAAAGGAUUCAGAAGUGAGCACCAAGACAUAGUAAAAGCAAACAACCAAGGCUAAAACGUGCGGAGGAAGUCAAAGUCAGAGUUGAAAACAAAGAAGUAGUAUCUGAAUUUGCUUCUAUUUCAGGCAUUAUAAAUGAGAAAAGCACUGUUGAUGUGACGGCCCCGGCUCUCAGACCACUCCUGGCAGUCAAAGGCCUCCACGCGCACUCCAACUUCAACGCUGCAGAAGGGCAAGAAGGGCAGUGGGCAGAGAGCCUGAGCAUGCUAGGCCUCCCCCGCCCACCACCCCACCAGCUCCUCCAGGCAAGGAAGAGAAGGAGGACCCUGUGUUGUUUUUUUGUUGUCUGCUAAUCUACGCAGCAGUUAACAUCCAUUUCAUCAAGUCGAUCGAUCUUAUGUACAAACUCCUGGGAGCAUGUCUGCUUUACUUUCCCACUUUCAAGUAGUAAAAAAAGGCCAGUGGAACCUUAUAUACAUGCAUGAGUAAAUUUUGGUAAUGGGGGGGUAGAGUGUUAAAUUAUGCCAAAGUCAAGUUUUCUCUCCUAAAACGGUAGUUCUAUAAUUUAAAAGCAUCAAACACUGAAGUUGGAUAGGAAAUACAGAUGUUCUUUUUUACAUUAGGAAGAAAAAAAUACCAAGUUAAAUCUUUUCUUUGUGUGUCAAGAAUAAUAAAAAUAACUGAAAGUGU